AUCACUUCUUGGCCUUUUAGCUAAGAUCAAGUGUAGUAUCUGUUCUUAUCAGUUUAAUAUUACUUAUUUAGUCAUUGAACAAAAAUUUAAUUUAAGCCUACUGUGUACUGAGAACUAUA
Heterocephalus glaber (naked mole-rat) is the source of this 119-nucleotide small nuclear RNA. Its record names the gene U2. It matches the Rfam family "U2 spliceosomal RNA". Rfam says of the family: U2 is a small nuclear RNA (snRNA) component of the spliceosome (involved in pre-mRNA splicing). Complementary binding between U2 snRNA (in an area lying towards the 5' end but 3' to hairpin I) and the branchpoint sequence (BPS) of the intron results the bulging out of an unpaired adenosine, on the BPS, which initiates a nucleophilic attack at the intronic 5' splice site, thus starting the first of two transesterification reactions that mediate splicing. Lineage: Eukaryota; Metazoa; Chordata; Mammalia; Rodentia; Bathyergidae. The record is from Ensembl.